UGGGGAAUAUUGCACAAUGGGCGGAAGCCUGAUGCAGCAACGCCGCGUGAGUGAUGAAGGCCUUCGGGUUGUAAAGCUCUGUCUUUUGGGACGAUAAUGACGGUACCAAAGGAGGAAGCCACGGCUAACUACGUGCCAGCAGCCGCGGUAAUACGUAGGUGGCAAGCGUUGUCCGGAUUUACUGGGCGUAAAGGAUGCGUAGGCGGAUUUUUAAGUGAGAUGUGAAAACCCUAAGCUUAACUUGGGGACUGCAUUUCAUACUGGAAAUCUAGAGUGCGGGAGAGGAGAAUGGAAUUCCUAGUGUAGCGGUGAAAUGCGUAGAGAUUAGGAAGGACACCAGUGGCGAAGGCGAUUCUCUGGACCGUAACUGACGCUGAGGCAUGAAAGCGUGGGUAGCAAACAGGAUUAGAUACCCUGGUAGUCCACGCCGUAAACGAUGAGUACUAGGUGUAGGAGGUAUCGACCCCUUCUGUGCCGCAGUUAACACAAUAAGUACUCCGCCUGGGAAGUACGAUCGCAAGAUUAAAACUCAAAUGAAUUGACGGGGUCAUAGCUGUUUUCCU
Molecule: ribosomal RNA, 563 nt
Filed under: uncultured bacterium
Lineage: Bacteria
Description: partial 16S ribosomal RNA
Rfam family: Bacterial small subunit ribosomal RNA
Source: RNAcentral